AUGUCAUCCUUUAAGCUUCCACGCGGCUUGUGUCGACAUAUUAAUGGUUUGCUACGCAAAUUUUGGUGGUGAUCAAACAAAUGUGAAAGAAAAACAGCCUGUCCCUUGGGAGGUCAUGUCAGAACCCAAAUCCAUUGGAGGUAUGGGUUUCGAGAUAUUGAGUUUUUUAACUUGGAGGUCUUGACACGCCAAGUGUGGCACCUCCUUUAGGACCCCAACUCUCUAAAUGCUCAUAUUCUCAAAUAUGUUUGUUAUCCUUCGAGCUCGAUCCUAGAAGCGGAAUUAGGGAGGUCUCCAUCGCAAGUAUGGCGAUCUAUUUUAGAGGGGAGAGACACCCUCAAGCUUGGUCUCGUCAACAGGAUUGGCAAUAGUGAUGACACACAUAUCUGGCAUGAUAAUUGCAUUCCUCGUGAUUUUAUGCUUCAUCAGGUAUCCCUACUCCUCCUCAAAUGGUGUCGGAUUUAA
Molecule: ribosomal RNA, 465 nt
Filed under: Triticum aestivum (bread wheat)
Lineage: Eukaryota; Viridiplantae; Streptophyta; Magnoliopsida; Poales; Poaceae
Description: partial small subunit ribosomal RNA
Source: RNAcentral